AUCCAGUUGACGAGUCCUAAAUAGGACGAAACUCGCGUCCUGGAU
This 45-nucleotide non-coding RNA is filed under the name Schistosoma margrebowiei. The record is from RNAcentral. Lineage: Eukaryota; Metazoa; Platyhelminthes; Trematoda; Strigeidida; Schistosomatidae.